AAACUGGGUCUAAUACUGGAUAUGACUUCUCACCGCAUGGUGGGGGGUGGAAAGAUUUAUUGGUCUUGGAUGGACUCGCGGCCUAUCAGCUUGUUGGUGAGGUAAUGGCUNACCAAGGCGACGACGGGUAGCCGGCCUGAGAGGGUGACCGGCCACACUGGGACUGAGACACGGCCCAGACUCCUACGGGAGGCAGCAGUGGGGAAUAUUGCACAAUGGGCGCAAGCCUGAUGCAGCGACGCCGCGUGAGGGAUGACGGCCUUCGGGUUGUAAACCUCUUUCAGUAGGGAAGAAGCGAAAGUGACGGUACCUGCAGAAGAAGCGCCGGCUAACUACGUGCCAGCAGCCGCGGUAAUACGUAGGGCGCGAGCGUUAUCCGGAAUUAUUGGGCGUAAAGAGCUCGUAGGCGGUUUGUCGCGUCUGCCGUGAAAGUCCGGGGCUUAACCCCGGAUCUGCGGUGGGUACGGGCAGACUAGAGUGCAGUAGGGGAGACUGGAAUUCCUGGUGUAGCGGUGAAAUGCGCAGAUAUCAGGAGGAACACCGAUGGCGAAGGCAGGUCUCUG
This 563-nucleotide ribosomal RNA is filed under the name uncultured bacterium. RNAcentral's name for it is "bacterial SSU rRNA". It matches the Rfam family "Bacterial small subunit ribosomal RNA", at positions 154 to 731 of the family's 1533-position model. The record is from RNAcentral.